This 202-nucleotide long non-coding RNA is filed under the name Elaeis guineensis (African oil palm). RNAcentral's name for it is "long non-coding RNA (EGUI_LNC014465)". The record is from RNAcentral. Lineage: Eukaryota; Viridiplantae; Streptophyta; Magnoliopsida; Arecales; Arecaceae.
GUAUGGCAUCUCUCUGAACCCCCCCGACCGUCCGAGCUUCCGGACUUCUCCGACAAUGAGCUUCUCCAUCCAUCUACCGUGCCGCUCCAAAGGAUCUCUGGGCCUCACUGUCAGCUGACCUUCUACAGUGAUCAACUAUUCUCCGAACUCCUUCCGAACUUCAUCAAUAUCCGAGCUUCUUCGACAAUGAGAUUUCUACAGU